This 1113-nucleotide ribosomal RNA is filed under the name Triticum aestivum (bread wheat). RNAcentral describes it as "partial small subunit ribosomal RNA". The record is from RNAcentral. Lineage: Eukaryota; Viridiplantae; Streptophyta; Magnoliopsida; Poales; Poaceae.
AUGGAGGCGCUGUGGAAGCAGGCCUCCAGGCUCAAGGAGCAGGUCGCGCGCCAGGGUGUGUUUAAGCAGUUUGGGGCUGGUGGCUAUGGAAAUUCUGAUAAUGCAUUCACAGACGAGUCAGAAGUUAAACUACAUCAGAGAUUGGAAAAACUUUACUUAUCCACUCGUGCUGCCAAACAUUUUCAAAGGGACGUCGUUCGGGGUGUGGAGGGCUACAUAGUGACAGGAUCUAAGCAAGUGGAGAUAGGGAACAAAUUGUCUGAUGAUAGCCAGAAAUAUGGCAUUGAAAACACAUGUACAAGUGGUAAUACUUUAUCCAGAGCUGCUACGUACUAUGGAAAGGCGCGUUCACUGAUAGAAAAGGAACGCGGGAACAUGCUGAAAGCAUUUGGUACUCAGGUGGCAGAGCCUCUACGGGCAAUGGUAAUGGGUGCCCCUCUAGAGGAUGCUAGACAUCUAGCCCAGAGAUAUGACAGAAUAAGGCAAGAAGCUGAUGCUCAGGUCGUUGAAGUUUCAAGGCGUCAAAGCAGAGUAAGAGAAUCAGCUGGGAAUAGCGACGUGAUAUCAAAGUUGGAGGCAGCUGAGUAUAAACUUGAAGAACUGAAGUCAAACAUGGUGGGAUUAGGAAAGGAAGCGGUUUCAGCUAUGGCUGCAGUAGAGGGGCAGCAGCAAAGAUUGACAUUACAACGCCUGAUUGCGAUGGUUGAGGCCGAGAGAACUUAUCAUCAGAAAGUCCUGGAGAUCCUUGACCAUUUGGAAGAAGAAAUGGUGUCUGAGCGCCAAAAAAUCGAAGCACCUCCACCCCCUGCAGCAGAGAGUUUUAUGUCACCGCCACCACCAUCAUAUGACGAAGUUAAUGGCAUGUUUGCCUCCACUUCUGCUGAUCAGGCAGUUAACUCUGUCGACUUCUUCCUGGGAGAGGCGCUCGAUUCCUUCGAGGCUGAGAGUGAGUUUGAGCUUAACUUAUCAGUUGGCGACAUCGUUAUCGUCCGGAAGAUAUCAAGCAACGGUUGGGCGGAAGGUGAAUGCAAGGGAAAAGCAGGAUGGUUCCCACAUGCUUAUGUCGAAAGACGCGAGCGUGUUCUGGCGAGCAAGGUCCCGCAUAUUUUCUAG